CCCUUAGAUGUUCUGGGCUGCACGCGCGCUACACUGACGCACGCAACAGGUGCCUGCUCCGAGAGGACUGGGUAAUCAUUUGAGUGUGCGUCGUGAUGGGGAUAGAAUAUUGUAAUUAUUCCUCUUCAACGAGGAAUUCCUAGUAAGCGCCAGUCAGCAGCUUGCGCUGAUUACGUCCCUGCCCUUUGUACACACCGCCCGUCGCUCCUACCGAUGGGUGAUCCGGUGAAUGAUUCGGACUUCAGCGGCUCCCCUGGGGUGCGCCGGAGAAAGUUUUGUGAACCUUAUCACUUGGAGGAAGGAGAAGUCGUAACA
Molecule: ribosomal RNA, 315 nt
Filed under: uncultured eukaryote
Lineage: Eukaryota
Description: partial 18S ribosomal RNA
Rfam family: Eukaryotic small subunit ribosomal RNA
Source: RNAcentral